This 252-nucleotide unclassified non-coding RNA is filed under the name Entomortierella beljakovae. Its description in RNAcentral is "partial internal transcribed spacer 2". The record is from RNAcentral. Lineage: Eukaryota; Fungi; Mortierellomycota; Mortierellomycetes; Mortierellales; Mortierellaceae.
AACACCUCAGGUCUCGAGAUAUUAUUAUAUUUCGAGACUUGGAUUUGAGUGAUCCUAACAGAGUCGUCAUAUUGACAAUGGCAGGUCGCUUGAAAUUCAGGUGCAGCUGAACUUUUCUUCUGAGCUAAAAGCAUUAUUUUAUUUAGUCUUUAUUGACUAUUACUUUUUUUGCUGCAGCUAACAUAAAGGGAGAAGAGUUCUUGAUGCUGACUGAUGCAGGAAUUUAUCAGUCUGGUAAAAAAGGACUGUUAG